CCUUGUUAUCAUCAAAACUUAAUAAGGUUCAUUGUGAAACACAUUUUGUUCCAACAUAGCUUACAAUCAAACUCAAAUAUGACAGACUCCAUGCCUUGAUUGACAGCGAAGGUUAAUGCUUCAAGAAGGCUUAGAGCCUCAGCUUCUGAAGGGGAAGAGGUAUAUAAAGAAUACUUAGAUAAUCCAUAAUGUAAUGUCCCUGAAGAGUCUCGAAAACAAAUGUCGAGCCCUGUGAUGGUAUUGUUGUUGAAGAGGCCGCAAUCUACAUUGCAUUUUAAACUAGAGCUCAUCCUAAUGUAUAUUCUGGUUGGGUUGUCUCACUAUUUGUAAACAGCGCCAUUCAUGAAGAGAAUUAUGCGCUCGCUGAACGAUCAAAGGAGAGGGAGUGUCAAUGCCUUCCCAUAAUUUAGAGUUUCUACUUUUCCACAGACUCCAUAGAAUCAUAGAUACAGUUGCCUGGGUAUGUGGUUGCAACCUUCUAAAGAAAUAAAAAAGAAGAGUUGUGAAAUCAUUAGCAUCACGCAACAAGUCAUGCACAAUACCAUCCAAUCAAACUUGCUCCCAACAAUUCAUAGCUUUUGGGCACACGAAGAAUGAGUGGAUGUGGAAUUCAGCCAAGACAUCGCAAUGAACACAGGUAUCGUCAAUAGGUACACCUUUCUGGAUCUAACGAGUGCGAGUUGGAAGGCAACAGUGAGCCGUUCUCCAUAACAGGGAACGAACUCUAGGAGGCACAUGUUGUUUCCAGAUAAUGUUCCAAUUAUGCGUAACAGCAGUGGGGGAAAUAUUGG
RNAcentral lists this long non-coding RNA (791 nucleotides) under Medicago truncatula (barrel medic). RNAcentral's name for it is "long non-coding RNA (MTRU_LNC006753)". Lineage: Eukaryota; Viridiplantae; Streptophyta; Magnoliopsida; Fabales; Fabaceae. The record is from RNAcentral.